This is a long non-coding RNA of Dendrobium catenatum, 397 nucleotides long. RefSeq lists it as uncharacterized. Lineage: Eukaryota; Viridiplantae; Streptophyta; Magnoliopsida; Asparagales; Orchidaceae. The transcript is spliced from 5 exons. The record is from RefSeq and is a predicted model, not a curated record.
UGCUGCUCACAGGAAAUACCUUCUAAGCAUACGGGGAUUAGGGCUAAAAAGUGUCGAGUGUGUUCGCCUCCUAGCACUUCAAAAUGUGGCUUUCCCCGUUGAUACCAAUGUUGCCCGCAUAACUGUAAGAUUAGGAUGGGUGCCACUCAAGCCGUUACAAGAGUUCCUUCAACUACAUCUCUUAGAACAAUAUGAGCUACAUUAUCACACAUGAUUACUUUUGGAAAGGUAUUUUGUACAAAAAGCAAGCCAAACUGUAAAGUUUGUCCAAUGAGAGGAGAGUGCAAGCACUUUAAUAGAUUUUGUAGCUACGCUAUUCAGUUCGAAAUAAUGAAGUUGAAUUGUUGCGAUAAAUGAAGGAAUCUUAUCUUCAAUGGCACACUAUUGACUAAAUUAA